CAAGUCCGGAAGGGAUAAACGCUGAAGGCAUCUAAGCGUGAAGCCCCCCUCAAGAUGAGAUAUCCCUCAGAAAUGAGUAAGACCCCUUGAAGACUACGAGGUAGAUAGGAAUGAGGUGUAAGCACAGCAAUGUGUUCAGCUGACAUUUACUAAUCGGUCGAGGGCUUGACCAAA
RNAcentral lists this ribosomal RNA (174 nucleotides) under Waltera intestinalis. RNAcentral describes it as "partial 23S ribosomal RNA". It matches the Rfam family "Bacterial large subunit ribosomal RNA", at positions 2750 to 2925 of the family's 2925-position model. Lineage: Bacteria; Bacillati; Bacillota; Clostridia; Lachnospirales; Lachnospiraceae. The record is from RNAcentral.